AGGAGUUCGAUGGCUCAGAUUGAACGCUGGCGGGAUGCUUUACACAUGCAAGUCGAACGGCAGCACGGACUUCGGUCUGGUGGCGAGUGGCGAACGGGUGAGUAAUGUAUCGGAACGUGCCUAAUGGCGGGGAUAACUACGCGAAAGCGUAGCUAAUACCGCAUACGCCCUUCGGGGAAAGCGGGGGACCUUCGGGCCUCGCACUAUUAAGGCAGCCGAUAUCUGGAUUAGCUAGUUGGUCGUUAACGGCUCCUGAGCGACGAUCCGUAGCUGGACGAGGACGGCCCAGCCACACUGGACUGAGACCUGGCCCAGACUCUACGGAGAGCAACGGUAAAUUUUGGACAAUGGAAACCUGAUCCGGCAUCGCAUUAUUGCGAUGAAGGCCGCCGGGUUGCUCAAAAGCACUUUUGGUAGGAAAGAAACGGCACGGGAUAAUACCCGAUGCAACUGACGGUACCUGCAGAAUAACACCGGCUAACUACGUGCCAGCAGCCGCGGUAAUACGUGGGGUGCAAGCGUUAAUCGGAAUUACAGACCAGCAUUGCAGGCAGUUCAGAAAAGUCGCGCAAAUCCCAGAACUUAGCACUGAACUGCAUUUUUAACUACCGAUAGAGUGUGUCAGGAGGAGGUGGGAAUUCCGCGUGUAGCAGUGAAAUGCGUAGAUAUGCGGAGGAACACCGAUGGCGAAGGCAGCCUCCUGGGAUAACACUGACGCUCAUGCACGAAAGCGUGGGGAGCAAACAGGAUUAGAUCCCUGGUAGUCCACGCCUGACGAUGUCAACUAGCUGUUGGGGCCUUCCGGGCCUUGGUAGCGCAACUAACGCGUGAAGUUGACCGCCUGGGAGUACGGUCGCAGAUUAAAACUCAAAGGAAUUGACGGGGACCGCACAAGCGGUGGAUGAUGUGGAUUAAUUCGAUGCAACGCGAAAAACCUUACCUACCCUUGACAUGUCUGGAAUCCCGAAGGGUUUAGGUGCUGCGAAGAGCAGAACCCAGGUGCUGCAUGGCUGUCGUCAGCUCGUGUCGUGAGAUGUUGGGUUAAGUCCCGCAACGAGCGCAACCCUUGUCAUUAGUUGCUACGAAAGGGCACUCCUAAUGAGACUGCCGAUGACAAACCGGAGGAAGGUGGGGAUGACGUCAAGUCCUCAUGGCCCUUAUGGGUAGGGCUUCACACAUACAAUGGUCGGGACAGAGGGUCGCCAACCCCGCGAGGAGGAGCCAAUCAAGAAACCCGAUCUGAAAGUCCGGAUCGCAGUCUGCAACUCGACUGCGUGAAGCCGGAAUCGCUAGUAAUCGCGGAUCAGCAUGUCGCGGUGAAUACGUUCCCGGGUCUUGUACACACCGCCGUCACACCAUGGGAGUGGGUUUUACCAGAAAUGAAUUAGCCUAACCGUAAGGAAGGCGAUUACCACGGUAGGAUUCAUGACUGGGGUGAAGUCGUAACAAGGUAA
Molecule: ribosomal RNA, 1454 nt
Filed under: uncultured Bordetella sp.
Lineage: Bacteria; Pseudomonadati; Pseudomonadota; Betaproteobacteria; Burkholderiales; Alcaligenaceae
Description: partial 16S-23S ribosomal RNA intergenic spacer
Rfam family: Bacterial small subunit ribosomal RNA
Source: RNAcentral